CUCGUGUUGUGAAAUGUUGGGUUAAGUCCCGCAACGAGCGCAACCCUUAUCCUUUGUUGCCAGCGGUUAGGCCGGGAACUCAAAGGAGACUGCCAGUGAUAAACUGGAGGAAGGUGGGGAUGACGUCAAGUCAUCAUGGCCCUUACGACCAGGGCUACACACGUGCUACAAUGGCGCAUACAAAGAGAAGCGACCUCGCGAGAGCAAGCGGACCUCAUAAAGUGCGUCGUAGUCCGGAUUGGAGUCUGCAACUCGACUCCAUGAAGUCGGAAUCGCUAGUAAUCGUGGAUCAGAAUGCCACGGUGAAUACGUUCCCGGGCCUUGUACACACCGCCCGUCACACCAUGGGAGUGGGUUGCAAAAGAAGUAGGUAGCUUAACCUUCGGGAGGGCGCUUACCACUUUGUGAUUCAUGACUGGGGUGAAGUCGUAACAAGGUAACCGUAGGGGAACCUGCGGUUGGAUCACCUCCUUACCUUAAAGAA
RNAcentral lists this ribosomal RNA (484 nucleotides) under Salmonella enterica. RNAcentral's name for it is "bacterial SSU rRNA". It matches the Rfam family "Bacterial small subunit ribosomal RNA", at positions 1059 to 1533 of the family's 1533-position model. Lineage: Bacteria; Pseudomonadati; Pseudomonadota; Gammaproteobacteria; Enterobacterales; Enterobacteriaceae. The record is from RNAcentral.